Molecule: long non-coding RNA, 309 nt
Organism: Xenia sp. Carnegie-2017
Lineage: Eukaryota; Metazoa; Cnidaria; Anthozoa; Malacalcyonacea; Xeniidae
Exons: 3
Source: RefSeq, a predicted model, not a curated record
CAUGUGUUAUAACAUUGAGGGUGUUACAGCACAAUGCACGGUUCAAACGAUAAGCUUUCCGCGAGUCUUAUAAUCUUCAAAGAGUUGUUCACUUAACAUACAUGUUCAGUCAUGUACAGUGUCGAGCGUACGGACAGUGAAAGAACGCGAACUCUGGCAGUGGUACAAGAGAUGAAGAUCAAGAAGAAGAUAGAGGAAUUUUUCGUUUAGAUGAGGAGGAGGCUGAUGAAAAGAAGAGGAUGCUGACGGAGAGACGAGGAAGAUGCUGACGGAGCUACGAGGAGGAUGCUGAUGGUGCUACGAAGAGGA